AGCAUAAAAGAAAGUGCACAAGAUAAUUGUAUAUUAAAAAAGAAGCUUUAUUGAUUCAUAUUAUAAAAAAAGUACAAAAAGGGGUAGAAUAUGAAACCGCUCUGUUGUUACAAGACUUCCUCUCUCCUCUCGAGACUAGUGGAUUUAGCUGUUCAUGGGUUGGCUUUUGCUGGUUGAUGGCUCCAUCUUCUCAACAGAAUCUCCUUAUGUCAUCUUGAAAAUCUUCCAACGUCACAGCUUUCUUCCUUUCUUUUUCGCUUAUUUUUCUCUCAACUUUUUCCCUUCUCUGAUCUCCUCUCCUUAGGUGCCCCCACACCCCUUGGAGUCCUAGCCAUCACAAAACUCCUACGCCUUCACAUCCUUUGUUUUUAUUUUUUUUAAACACCCUAAGGCCUUCUCUGUUCCUAGGCGCACGCCUGCAGCUGCUUCAGCUCUCGCUCGCCAACCAUGCCUGUGUCUGCGUCCAAACUGCAUCCAGGCCCACUCAUGAGCUCAUUCUCGUGAGAGCCGCACCGAGCCUUCUCUCGUGAACCACUCCCGCACGCACACUUUCAAACCGCACCCCACAUGCCCAUGCACCCGCUCAUGCUUGGAUCGAAAUGCGUGCCCGCGUUACCAUGCACCGUGGUAAACCACGCUACCAACCCUGUGCACCGCGUUGUGAGUCACAUGGCAUUCCCUCUUGUAUUGCAUAAGCCUGUACACCGCGCAUGUAAACCACUGGGCUAUGUGGGCUUGUUUAUUCUGGACCGUGUGGUUGCUGUGUUUUCUCUGACUAUGUGCCUCUUUUGUGUUACUAAAAAAAUUAUUUAUAAAGACUAGUUUGGACUUUAGUUUGGGCUUUAUCACUACAAAUGUUGAGGGUCUUGCUGGUUGGUUUGUGAUUAGACUUUAUAAUUAACAAUUCCUGAA
RNAcentral lists this long non-coding RNA (912 nucleotides) under Elaeis guineensis (African oil palm). Its description in RNAcentral is "long non-coding RNA (EGUI_LNC020993)". The record is from RNAcentral. Lineage: Eukaryota; Viridiplantae; Streptophyta; Magnoliopsida; Arecales; Arecaceae.